GUCAGGAUGGCUGAGCGGUCUAAGGCGCUGAGUUCAGGUCGCAGUCUUCCCUAGAGGCGUGGGUUCGAAUCCCACUUCUGACA
Non-coding RNA from Danio rerio (zebrafish), 83 nucleotides. The record is from Rfam. Lineage: Eukaryota; Metazoa; Chordata; Actinopteri; Cypriniformes; Danionidae.